Molecule: ribosomal RNA, 315 nt
Filed under: uncultured cyanobacterium
Lineage: Bacteria; Bacillati; Cyanobacteriota
Description: bacterial SSU rRNA
Rfam family: Bacterial small subunit ribosomal RNA
Source: RNAcentral
GGGGAAGAACACAAUGACGGUACCUGACGAAUCAGCCUCGGCUAACUCCGUGCCAGCAGCCGCGGUAAGACGGAGGAGGCAAGCGUUAUCCGGAAUUAUCGGGCGUAAAGCGUCCGCAGGUGGCUUCUCAAGUCUGCUGUUAAAGCCCAUGNCUCAACUCUGGAGAAGCAGUGGAAACUGAGAGGCUUGAGUGCGGUAGGGGUAGAGGGAAUUCCCGGUGUANCGGUGAAAUGCGUAGAGAUCGGGAAGAACACCAGCGGCGAAAGCGCUCUACUGGACCGNNACUGACANUGAGGGACNAAAGCUAGGGGAGCG